UACGAAGGGGGCUAGCGUUGCUCGGAAUCACUGGGCGUAAAGCGCACGUAGGCGGCUUUCUAAGUCGGGGGUGAAAUCCUGGAGCUCAACUCCAGAACUGCCUUCGAUACUGGAGAGCUCGAGUCCGGGAGAGGUGAGUGGAACUGCGAGUGUAGAGGUGAAAUUCGUAGAUAUUCGCAAGAACACCAGUGGCGAAGGCGGCUCACUGGCCCGGUACUGACGCUGAGGUGCGAAAGCGUGGGGAGCAAACAGG
Molecule: ribosomal RNA, 253 nt
Filed under: uncultured bacterium
Lineage: Bacteria
Description: partial 16S ribosomal RNA
Rfam family: Bacterial small subunit ribosomal RNA
Source: RNAcentral